Molecule: unclassified non-coding RNA, 223 nt
Filed under: uncultured fungus
Lineage: Eukaryota; Fungi
Description: sequence contains ITS1
Source: RNAcentral
UUGAUUUAUUAUUUAUUUUGUUAUCAGACUUCAAGUUGUCAAGAGUUGUUCCUUCGGCGGGCACGAAUCCGCACAAAAGGCCGACGUCCGAACGCUCCGGUUUCCCGAAUCGAAAAGACUGGCCCGCCGAAGCUGCUUUUCAGCGAAAAUACACAAGGGUGGGAGGAGUCCGAAUUAACGGACACACUCGGUAAUGAUCCUUCCGCAGGUUCACCUACGGAAA